Molecule: long non-coding RNA, 2272 nt
Filed under: Callithrix jacchus (white-tufted-ear marmoset)
Lineage: Eukaryota; Metazoa; Chordata; Mammalia; Primates; Cebidae
Description: lncRNA (ENSCJAG00000086134.1)
Source: RNAcentral
CUUCUUCCACCAUGAUUGUAAGAUUCCAGAGGCCUUCUCAGUCAUGAAGAAUUAUAACGUAAUGAAAGGAAAGAGAGCAACAUUUAUAAUGGAAGAAAAAAUGCCUAUGAUGAUCUCUACCCUUUGGAACAAAAACAUCUCAGUAAUGCUUCUCUUCCCGUUUGCUAGGGGAGCAGCAGAAAAAUUCAUUUCAAUUUCUAUUCAGUAUAGGGGUUUUAUAUGUCAUGCACAGAAAUAGACUGUCACUGUCAGGAAAUGUGCCAUAUGUGCCAAAGCAAGUGGGAGGGAGACUAUGAAUGGCUUCAAUGAAUGAACUGACUUGAAUGCAGGGUUUCUUUUUUAAUGAUAAUAGAACUGGAAAAGUUUGCCUGUGAAUGUAUUUCUAACACUAAAACUAUUUUAAAGGGCAAAAAUCAUCUGAGAGAAACAACUCAGGGGUCAGAUAAUUAAUUGUUAUUGGCCUGGAUUCUUCAAAAAAGUCAUGAAAAAACAUUAAACAAAUAAAUAAAUGUAUAUUGAAAUAGACAACAGUAGAAUUACAGUAAUAAUACAGUAUGUGACAUUUAAUUGGAUCCUGAACUAAAAGAAGAACAAUUAAUGGGGAAAUUAAAAUAUAAACUGAAUAUUGCAUAAAAUUGUUAUAUUUUAGAAAUAGUAUUUUAAGAGCUAUAAUUAUAUUUUAGUCAUUUUGCAGCAUAUAGUAUUUCUUAAAAGGUGUGAAAUGAAGCAUUUAGGACUGAAAAGUCAUGACAUCUACCAUUUAAUAUCUGUUGAUGUGUAUGAAUUUACACACAAAGCAAUGUUUAUUUUGCACAGAUCCAUAUUAAUUGAAGCACAUGCUUGUCCAAAGUCUAUGAUUUUCAAGAUUUAGUGAUAGUUGAGAUAUAAUUCUAGUUACCAUGUAACUGUGGAAACUGAGGACUUUCUACAUGUCAAGAGUAGCAAAACAUUAAUAAAAUAUUUUAACAGGUGGAUUUAGUCAGUGGGUGUAAAGGUGAUUCUUUUAUUCUUUUUCAAUUUUUCUCUAUAAAAAUUCAAAAUAAAUACAGAAGUUUAAUUAAUUUUACUUAUUUAUAUUCAUAUAAAAUCUAAAACAUUACCCCUGUGGUGCAUGCAUGCACAUGCACACACACACACACACACACACACACACACCAGACACUUACUUGGAAGGAUUAAAAAAUUAAAUAGAUAUUAGUAAAAGUAUAAUUAUCAUUACAGACUCAGUAGGAGUAUUUCUGAAACUUCACGAAAUUACUAUUAGAAUAGUUUGCAUUAAUGAAUAUAAAUCAUUUGAAUUAAUUAGAAUUACAUAAAAAGCUGGCUUUUUAGAAAAGUACUAGCUUAGGCAGUCAUCUCCAUGUCAAUAGGUAUCUAUGAGUCAGUUUUAAAUGUGUUGCUGUCAAUUAGGACUGUAUCAUUAUGAUCAUUAAAUCAUGGAAUCAAAUACAGAAAUUUAGAAAUUAUGUAGAUAAUAGUAUAUGGGAAAUUCUCAUCCUAAAUAUAAUUUUUUAUCUAAAUAAAUUUAUCCUGAACAAAAUUAUUUUAUAAUUUCUUAUUCUGACUUUUAUUUAUAUUCCAACAUAAACACAUACACAUAUUUAUAUGUGAAAAAAUCAUGGUACAGAAGUUCUUAAAAAGAUAACUAGAACCAUAGGACUUUAAUUGCUGAAGACAAUGAAACCUAGAGAAUGUACACAGUGGUCAUGACUAAACAUGUCAGUCAUUGAGGAAAAUCUUAAAUGUUAAUUAUAUGCUUGAAAACAGCAAGAGGUAAAAUUGUUUCAUUUUAGCUUGGUCCAAUUAAAUAUGGAGUAUUCAAAACAAUGAAGUAGAAAGAACUAAAACUGAAAUUUCAUCAAAGAAUGUUCAUGUAGCCUGUUAUGUUUUUUGGGGUACAGAUUCUGAGAUGGAGUUUAGAGUGCAGAAUAAAUAUUUAGGAUUACCCUUAAGAGCAGCAACUGCUGAGGGGAGCUGGAGGCAGCAGGAAGCAGGCUUGGGUCAAGGAAGUGUUGAGUUGUCAUGUGGGAUCAUAGCAUGGACAAAUCCAUUAUGAUAAACUCAUUAUGAGUCAUGAAAUUACAAUUCCUCUUCAGAGUUGACCUGAAGAUUAGCUUGAGAGGGCCUGAUGUUUAGAUUCAUACAUAGAUCAGUUAAUAGAAGUGAGUUGCUCCAGGGAAUGAGUAUGAUUUUGGGCAAAGCCUCUCUGCAACUGAGGCAGUUCCUGGGAAUGACAGCCAAAUGUUAAAUGGAGGCACAGCACCGAUGCCAU